This 255-nucleotide long non-coding RNA is filed under the name Capra hircus (goat). RNAcentral describes it as "lncRNA (ENSCHIG00000004832.1)". The record is from RNAcentral. Lineage: Eukaryota; Metazoa; Chordata; Mammalia; Artiodactyla; Bovidae.
UCUCCCUGGAGUCCCUCCUCUCACAAUCCUCUGGAGCUCUGAGAUCAAGUCUUCUGUCCUUGUUUGGGCAUCUGCAGACAUCUCCUGGGGCAGGGCUGUCUCACUCAUGGGAGGUCCCGGAAUCCAGCGCUGCCCAUGGGCAGGAGAACAGGGGAGCUGCCAAGUUUGAAGCAGAGAUCGGGGUUGAAGCCACGCUAUGUGUGCCCUGGACCAGUUGACGCACCCACAUCCGCCGGAAGUCUGCUGUGUGGGAGC